AGCGAACGCCGGCGGCAUGCCUAACACAUGCAAGUCGAACGCCUGCAGCAAUGCAGGAGUGGCAGACGGGUGAGUAACACGUGGGAAUCUACCCAGUAGCUCGGAAUAACCGCGGGAAACUGCGGCUAAUACCGGAUAAGCCCCGAGGGGGAAAGGAGCAAUCCACUAUUGGAGGAGCCCGCGUCUGAUUAGCUAGUUGGUGGGGUAAUGGCCUACCAAGGCGAUGAUCAGUAGCUGGUUUGAAAGAACGACCAGCCACACUGGGACUGAGACACGGCCCAGACUCCUACGGGAGGCAGCAGUGGGGAAUAUUGGACAAUGGGGGAAACCCUGAUCCAGCAAUGCCGCGUGGGUGAUGAAGGCCUUCGGGUUGUAAAGCCCUUUUGUCGGGGACGAUGAUGACGGUACCCGACGAAUAAGCCCCGGCUAACUUCGUGCCAGCAGCCGCCGUAA
This 453-nucleotide ribosomal RNA is filed under the name uncultured bacterium. RNAcentral describes it as "partial 16S ribosomal RNA". It matches the Rfam family "Bacterial small subunit ribosomal RNA", at positions 29 to 523 of the family's 1533-position model. The record is from RNAcentral.